AUUGAACGCUGGCGGCAGGCCUAACACAUGCAAGUCGAGCGGAUGAAGGGGGCUUGCUCCUGGAUUCAGCGGCGGACGGGUGGGUAAUGCCUAGGAAUCUGCCUGGUGGGGGGGGAUAACGUCCGGAAACGGGCCCUAAUACCCCAUCCGUCCUUAGGGGGAAAGGGGGGGAUCUUGGGACCUCACGCUUCCGGAUGAGCCUAGGUCGGAUUAGCUAGUUGGUGGGGUAAAGGCCUACCAAGGCGACGAUCCGUAACUGGUCUGAGAGGAUGAUCAGUCACACUGGAACUGAGACACGGUCCAGACUCCUACGGGAGGCAGCAGUGGGGAAUAUUGGACAAUGGGCGAAAGCCUGAUCCAGCCAUGCCGCGUGUGUGAAGAAGGUCUUCGGAUUGUAAAGCACUUUAAGUUGGGAGGAAGGGCAGUAAGUUAAUACCUUGCUGUUUUGACGUUACCAACAGAAUAAGCACCGGCUAACUUCGUG
RNAcentral lists this ribosomal RNA (484 nucleotides) under uncultured bacterium. RNAcentral's name for it is "partial 16S ribosomal RNA". It matches the Rfam family "Bacterial small subunit ribosomal RNA", at positions 30 to 507 of the family's 1533-position model. The record is from RNAcentral.